RNAcentral lists this ribosomal RNA (253 nucleotides) under uncultured prokaryote. RNAcentral's name for it is "partial 16S ribosomal RNA". It matches the Rfam family "Bacterial small subunit ribosomal RNA", at positions 524 to 776 of the family's 1533-position model. The record is from RNAcentral.
AACGUAGGUACCGAGCGUUAUCCGGAUUUACUGGGCGUAAAGCGCGUUCAGGCGGCUCUGCAAGUCGGGCAUGAAAUCUCUCGGCUCAACCGGGAGGGGUUGUCCGAUACUGCGGGGCUUGAGGGCAGUAGAGGGUGGUGGAAUUCCGGGUGUAGUGGUGAAAUGCGUAGAGAUCCGGAGGAACACCAGUGGCGAAAGCGGCCACCUGGACUGUACCUGACGCUCAAACGCGAAAGCUAGGGGAGCGAACGGG